Molecule: ribosomal RNA, 484 nt
Filed under: uncultured bacterium
Lineage: Bacteria
Description: partial 16S ribosomal RNA
Rfam family: Bacterial small subunit ribosomal RNA
Source: RNAcentral
AUUGAACGCUGGCGGCAGGCCUAACACAUGCAAGUCGAGCGGAUGAAGGUAGCUUGCUCCUGGAUUCAGCGGCGGACGGGUGAGUAAUUCCUAGGAAUCUGCCUUGUAGUUGGGGAUAACGUCCGGAAACGGGCGCUAAUACCGCAUACGUCCUGAGGGAUAAAGCGGGGGAUCUUCGGACCUCACUCUAUCAGAUUAGCCUAGGUCGGAUUAGUAAGUUGGUGGGGUAAAUGCCUACCAAGGCGCCGAUCCGUAACUGGUCUGAGAGGAUGAUCAGUCAAACUGGAACUGAGACACGGUCCAGCCUCCUACGGGAGGAAGCAGUGGGGAAUAUUGGACAAUGGGCGAAAGCCUGCUCCAGCCAGGCCGCGUGUGUGAAGAAGGUCUUCGGAUGGUAAAGCACUUUAAGUUGGGAGGAAGGGCAGUAAGUUAAUACCUUGCUGUUUUGACGUUACCAACAGAAUAAGCACCGGCUAACUUCGUG